RNAcentral lists this ribosomal RNA (284 nucleotides) under uncultured archaeon. RNAcentral describes it as "partial 16S ribosomal RNA". It matches the Rfam family "Archaeal small subunit ribosomal RNA", at positions 24 to 283 of the family's 1478-position model. The record is from RNAcentral.
CCCCACUGCUAUCGGGAUAGGACUAAGACAUGCUAGUCGUGUGACUCAGGCAAAACGAGUCACGGCACGCAGCUCAGUAACACGUGGCUAAUCUGCCCUUAGGACAAGAACAACCCCGGGAAACUGGGGCUAACUCUUGAUAGGCAAAGAACUCUGGAAUGAGUCUUUACCUAAAUAGAUUCACGUUAUCCUCGUGAAUCUGCCUAAGGAUGAGGCCGCGACCGAUCAGGUUGUUGGUGAGGUAAUGGCUCACCAAGCCUUUUACCGGUGCGGGCCGUGGGAGC